AUGGGAGACACUAGCAGAAGAUUGGUGCUCUGAGGAAGGGAGAAGCUGAGGUGUGAGGCUGACCUGCUGGAUGACAACAGGAUAGAGAAGCAGUCGCCACUCCAGUGAACCCUAUCUUGAGCAGCUCUCUACUUGUUGAAGAGGGUCGUCACAGCGGACCGGAAGAGCUACAGAGCCUCAAGCUAGGGCAGGACUUUCCAUUCCUGGGCUGCCUGGAAUCACUGCAAACCUGCCUCUCUAUGACAUCACAGAUGCAACGAUCCCGGUGGGUCGCUUCCUUGUACCUUGUUACGUUUGUUUAAGGAAUGUCAAAUGCCUGUCACUCCAUAAGACUUUCCUCUCCCUACCCAUUCUGUGAUGUGGAAAAGUUAUUUCUUCUACUAAUCAAAACCUCUGAGUUCACUGACUGCUAGGACAUCCAUCUCCCUCCUUAGAGGAUUACCUGGUUCAUGCUACACGGGUCCCUAUCCUUGGAGCUCAGAAGCUGUGGACCUGUCCAUUCAUGUCACCCUGUUUUCUGCACCUGCAGGCAGGUUGCCGUCCAGUUCCUUCCUGUUGGAGACCCAUCCAGAUCCCUCGGUUUGCAGCUGUCUGCUCCUAGCCUGGAGUCUCUGUUGCUUGGUAUGGAAAUUCACUCGGGGCAGAUGUUUUUGGCAAACCAUUGGGCUGUGGCUGACCUGGAGGGUGGGGUUAGUGCACGUGCAUGGGGGUUCCUUUCCUCUCUGGGCCAUCUGGGCUCUCUGGUGGAGGAAGCUAUAGCUGUAUUUAUAGUGUCAAUGACUAAUGGAAGUCUGGUAAUAAAUAAUGGUGGCCAAGAAUCUUGGAAGCAUGCCAUCCUUGGAAUCCAAUUCCUCCCCAGCUGCAUCUAAGGUUAGGAGGCUUCUACUGCGUGCCAGGUAUAAAGCCCUGGUUAGAGUUGAGAGGAGGAAACAGAGGCUUAGGGAAGAGCAGGGACUUGAUCUGAACACCCUAGCUUCAUGGAUCUUGUUGGAUUUCUUCCAUAUUUUGGACAAAUUGAAGCCGCUCCCAGAGCUGGGCAGUGGGAAAGCUUGGGGGUUCAGAAGGAACUCCGGGCAGCUCUUCUAGACUGGGCUCCUGGUGCUGUGAGCACUUGCUGAUCAAGGCGACAGCAGGGCCUCCCGUUCAUAGCGACAGAAAAGUGCUCUCUGGAGCCUACUGGGAAUGUACCUUCAGAACAUGUUCUGGGGCCCACAGAAGGCUCCCAACCCUUGGGAGGCAUCUGGGGAGCAGCCCAGAGGAGGCAGAGAACUCCUUAUGAGACAGUUAAGUCAGGAAAGCUUUUUCAAGUCUCUCUCUCAUCUAUCUAUCUAUCUAUCUAUCUAUCUAUCUAUCUAUCUAUCUAUCUAUCUAUCUAUCUGUUUAUUGAUGAGUGAUUGGUUGAUUUGUGGUGCUGGGAAUGGAGUCCAAAGAUUACACAUGCUAGGCAAGCACUGUUACCCUUGAACCUCACUCCCAUCUCCAAGUCUCACUCAAAAAGUGAAACAGAGCAUGUCCGCGUGAUGUUCAUCAUGGUUACAAUGUAUAUGUUGGGUAUACAUGGGGUACACGUGUAGAUAUAUAGGUUUGUAUAUGCAUGACAGUGUGCUUCUGUAUGUUUUUGUGGGCAUAAACAUACAUGCACUAUAGGCUGGCUUCUAAGAACAUAUACACACGUUUAUGUAUAUAAGAACACAUGCGUAUGUUUGCGCCCACAUAUGUAUGUGUUAGUAAAGAACAGCCCAGACCCUGGCAUUGUGUUAGAUCUGGUUUUGUUCUCUUUCACGGGAGCAGGAGAGAGUGCAGUGACAAGCCAGGUCCAGCCUCCUGCUGUCAUCUUUCUGCCUCAACUUAAAUUCCUGCUGAGUUCUUCAUUUAUGGCCUACAACCAGUUUGUUGCUGCCUAAAGAUGACCAGCGAAGCAAUGCAGGUUCCUUGUAAAACAAACUAGCAAGCCUUCAGGCACACAAAGAAGAUAAAAAUUGCCCUUUGUCCUCCGAGCAAGAGUCCUGGCUGUUGCUUAAUAGAAUUUUCCUCUCCAAGGUACUGCAAUGACUUGAGGGUCAGAGGAGAAGGCAAUGAGGAGGCUGCCGUUCCCCGGGCCUUUGCUCUCUGACCCCAUGGUCAAGUCUUAGAAUCUCAAGGACUCUCUUUCACUUUGCUCCUGCUGUUACGGGAUUCUUCAUGAAUCGUGAGGUCCUGAGCGGACUAGUCUUGCUCAAGCUGUGGAGACAGACACACGGAGCUGGGUCUAAUCCCGAGGGUUGCUUCACUUUGCCGAGUCAGCCAUCUGGUCUCUCUGAGCAUCCGUGUCCUCGUCUCUAAAAUGGGAUAAGACAACCACCUUCAAGGGCAGUUGUCUGGGUGGGAAGGGUGUCUUUCUCUGCCUGUGUUUGUACCGUCAUCCCCACCCCCACCCUGCUCACCACUCUCCACUUUCUGUUCCACACUGCAGAGGGCUCCCUUGGCCGUGGUUGCCCAGGAGGAUUGGUCAAAUGAGUGGAAGUGGAAGGCUGAAGAGUGGAGACUGGGGAUGCCAGGGAGUCUCUUCUCAUCCUUCCAUUGCUUCCCGCGGUGUCCAAUCAGGCAGUGGUGGCAACUCUGCUGUGGCUCCAGUCCUGCUGUGGCCUCAAAUCGUUGGCUCAGGGUCAUCUACUGUUGUCCUAUUCUGCCCAGGCCUCGUGGUGGUAACAAUAGCUUCCAGCUGACAGAGUCCCAGUUCAGCUCCUGAACAAUUCAACAGCCAGUUCCCUACAUUAAGUUCCCUGUGUUGACAGGCCCUGGGCGCUUGUGGUUUUACGCGAAGGCCCUAUGCAAUAUAGAAACGACAAACAGGGCUGGGUGGGGCCAUGCGUAGGUUACUUCUCAGCACACCAUGGCCUGAAGCUAUGGCCCCUGAUGAGCUUGUGACAGUUUUACCAGUUAAAUCAAGGAUUUCAUAAGCCCUGCCUUCUUCUUCUUGACCCAAUAGACUCGUUUCCAUUUUGUGGUAACAUAGCCCCAGAGUAAGGAGGUGGUCUCUGGAGUAAGAGAGGCAGCUCUUGAAUCUCAGAUUCAUCCUUUCUAGCUGGCUGAUCUCGAGCCACAUUUGGGGUUGGCGUAGCUCAGUGGUAGAGCGUCUGCCUGGAAUGUACAGGUGUCUAUCCCAGCACCCAAACACAAAAGCAAACAAACAACUCCAGGUGUAUCUAUAGGUAGGGAAUAAGGAUGGCUGAUUAACGGAGAUGACAGAUGCUCAGUGCUUGAUGUGUAUAAGUGAUCACAUUUAUGGAAUACAAUGAAUAAUAUUAUGAUUAGAUUACCACCACAGUCCCUUCUUUCAAGAACACUGAGGUGUUUUCACUUGGAUUUAUAUUGUAGAAUAUUUGUACACUGUGAACAUGUAUUGCUGUGACUGAUAUAAUAAAAAGAUGAACACCAAUAGUUAGGCAGGAGGGAUAGGCGGGAUUUCUGGGAAGAGAGAGGAAGACGAGAAGGAAUCGAGGUGGACACACGUGGGAUCGAGGUAAAAGCCACGUGGUAAAAACAUAGAUUAAUAGAAGCAGGUUCAUUUAAGUUCUAAGAGCUAGCGGGACGAGCCUAAGCUAAGGCUGAGCUUUUAUAACUAAUAAGGAGUCUCUGUGUCAUUAUUUGGGAGUUAGCUGGCGGGACAGAAAAAGACUCGUUACAGACGAGUCACCGGACAUAAAAAUGACUUACUCCCGUUUUUCCCAAUUAUCUCUCUGUAUGGUAAGUUUUCACAGUUGCCAAGAAUCAUGGGGAAAGAAAGAAAAAAACAGCCAGAACCUUCCCUUCCAACAUUGGCUUCAGAGCAGCAGUGAUU
This is a long non-coding RNA of Arvicola amphibius (Eurasian water vole), 3820 nucleotides long. RefSeq lists it as uncharacterized. The record is from RefSeq and is a predicted model, not a curated record. Lineage: Eukaryota; Metazoa; Chordata; Mammalia; Rodentia; Cricetidae. The transcript has 3 exons.